UGCGCUGGGGCAGCUGCGCUCCGAAACGUGGCAGGAGGUCGCAGUUGCCUCGGUGGUGCCCGCCAGCCGCGGCGGGGAGGAGUUUCCCCAAUUAACACGCUUGGCAACGCCAGGCGAAGGCAGCGAGGUUUGAUGUGCUAUUAUUAUGAAUGAGUGUGACCUGACCUCUUCUGAAGUUUGGAAUGCUUUGCUCCACUUAUUGGACACAAUGGGCCAGCUUUACAGAGCUGAAUAUUUUACUGUUGAAAGCCUCCAUGGUACAGCCUGGGGAAAAAAUAUUUUAUGCUAAAUGAGUCUGGAGGGAUGAGGUAUUCAAAGCAAGCUUUCUGAACAUAAGUAUGAAAGCAAACUGCAAGGUCAAGAAUCUUCAAAGCACCAGCUGUUAGCCUUUGAUUUUCUGCCUUUGCCUAAACUGACCAAACUGGGGCGCAUUGCUGAGCAUGCACGCUGCACUGCAUACCCUCACUGCUGGCCAGCCUUCCCAUCUUCAGCACCUGAGAAACUUAACAACUCCAUUUGGACAGGUACCAUGCUCGGGGGAAGACCUGGAGGUCUGUUGCAGUUUGUGGGCUCAGCUACAGCUCCUCUAGUCAGGAAGUGGGAACGCCUGAGAAGCAGAGCUGACUGCCUUAGCUUGGAGAUCCUCUUGUGGCUUCUUGGAGAAAUACCUCUCAGGAUUCCCUCUGCAGCCUCACUUCACCUCCUACCAGCACCAGCCGUACAUUCCGGGUACUUAAACCACAUCAUCUGCUCAUCUUUGUUUUGUGGCUUUCUGAGGUUUUAGUUUUAGACAAAACCUCUCUUGCUCCAAAAUUAUCGUUCUAAAUUGUAUUGUGAUGUUUCACGCUUCAUGAACAAAUGUUCAAUUCAAUCAAAAGUUACUAGUGAAGAUAAGAUUCAUAUCAGAAAUGCACCAAUCUUUCUCCCAUGUUUCUGUGGCCUUUGAACUCACUCAUAUUUACACUGUAAGAAUAAAAGUACCAUCUGCACAG
Mastomys coucha (southern multimammate mouse) is the source of this 992-nucleotide long non-coding RNA. RefSeq lists it as uncharacterized. Lineage: Eukaryota; Metazoa; Chordata; Mammalia; Rodentia; Muridae. The record is from RefSeq and is a predicted model, not a curated record. The transcript has 3 exons.